ACCUUGAUUUACUUGUGGUAAGACCUUUUUAAUGUAUGUCUAAAUUUUAGGGUAUAGCUUACUUAUGUGCAAGGGGAAAUUCAUAAGUGAUUAAGCUAGUAUCGUAUUUAAAGUUAUAUGAAGGGUUUUAGCCUCAUUUUACCUUAGGCCUUCUCUACAGGUCUCAGAAGGGACUUUCUCCUUUCCUUCCUAACUAAACAGCCUUAUGAACAAGUGUUUUGUGACCUAAUGCAUUCAUCAUAUUUUUUCAAUCUGGUUGUUAAUAGCUGAUUUGAAUGCUUUACAUUGUCAAAUCUUGUGAACUUGUAAGUCAGAAAUAAAACAGACUUUUUCUAUAACAAGGAAACUGAAUCAUGGAUUGUGAGUCCCAAAUUUACAAAACACAUGAACAUUUUUGUACACACAAUUUUCCUUAUGAUUUUGUUUUUAUGGGAUUGCUUUGUGUUACAAUAUCUUCCAGACAGCCCUAAUGAAAAUUUUCAGCCCCCCCCCCCCCCCCCC
This is a non-coding RNA of Biomphalaria pfeifferi, 501 nucleotides long. The record is from the annotation of a GenBank genome assembly. NCBI's taxonomy places the organism in Eukaryota, Metazoa, Mollusca, Gastropoda, Planorbidae.